Molecule: ribosomal RNA, 47 nt
Filed under: Blumea balsamifera
Lineage: Eukaryota; Viridiplantae; Streptophyta; Magnoliopsida; Asterales; Asteraceae
Description: partial 28S ribosomal RNA
Source: RNAcentral
CGACCCCAGGUCAGGUGGGACUACCCGCUGAGUUUAAGCAUAUCAAU